This 348-nucleotide ribosomal RNA is filed under the name uncultured bacterium. Its description in RNAcentral is "bacterial SSU rRNA". It matches the Rfam family "Bacterial small subunit ribosomal RNA", at positions 28 to 396 of the family's 1533-position model. The record is from RNAcentral.
GACGAACGCUGGCGGCGUGCUUAACACAUGCAAGUCGAGCGCUGAAGCCUUUCGGGGUGGAUGAGCGGCGAACGGGUGAGUAACACGUGGGAAUAUGCCUUUCGGUUUGGAACAACUCGGGGAAACCCGUGCUAAUUCCGGAUACGCCCUUAGGGGGAAAGAUUUAUCGCCGAAAGAUUAGCCCGCGUCCGAUUAGCUAGUUGGUGAGGUAACGGCCCACCAAGGCGACGAUCGGUAGCUGGUUUGAGAGAACGACCAGCCACACUGGGACUGAGACACGGCCCAGACUCCUACGGGAGGCAGCAGUGGGGAAUCUUGGACAAUGGAGGAAACUCUGAUCCAACCAUG